UCAUGCCUGUAGGUUUCCAUUGCUCU
This 26-nucleotide non-coding RNA is filed under the name Homo sapiens (human). Lineage: Eukaryota; Metazoa; Chordata; Mammalia; Primates; Hominidae. The record is from RNAcentral.